AUUGAACGCUGGCGGAAUGCUUUACACAUGCAAGUCGAACGGCAGCACGGACUUCGGUCUGGUGGCGAGUGGCGAACGGGUGAGUAAUGUAUCGGAACGUGCCCAGUCGUGGGGGAUAACGUAGUGAAAAUUACGCUAAUACCGCAUACGAUCUAUGGAUGAAAGCGGGGGAUCGCAAGACCUCGCGCGAUUGGAGCGGCCGAUAUCAGAUUAGGUAGUUGGUGGGGUAAAGGCCCACCAAGCCAACGAUCUGUAGCUGGUCUGAGAGGACGACCAGCCACACUGGAACUGAGACACGGUCCAGACUCCUACGGGAGGCAGCAGUAGGGAAUUUUGGACAAUGGGCGAAAGCCUGAUUCAGCCAUUCCGCGUGCAGGAUGAAGGCCCUCGGGUUGUAAACUGCUUUUGUACAGAACGAAAAGGUUUCUAGUAAUACUAGGAGCUCAUGACGGUACUGUAAGAAUAAGCACCGGCUAACUACGUGCCAGCCGCCGCCGUAA
RNAcentral lists this ribosomal RNA (500 nucleotides) under uncultured bacterium. RNAcentral's name for it is "partial 16S ribosomal RNA". It matches the Rfam family "Bacterial small subunit ribosomal RNA", at positions 30 to 523 of the family's 1533-position model. The record is from RNAcentral.